Molecule: ribosomal RNA, 539 nt
Filed under: uncultured Rudanella sp.
Lineage: Bacteria; Pseudomonadati; Bacteroidota; Cytophagia; Cytophagales; Cytophagaceae
Description: bacterial SSU rRNA
Rfam family: Bacterial small subunit ribosomal RNA
Source: RNAcentral
UGGCAAACGGGUGCGUAACGCGUAAGGAACCUGCCCCUGAUUGGGGGAUAGCCCGGCGAAAGCUGGGGUAAACCCGCAUGGUUCAGUUGAAUGGCAUCAUUUGGCUGAUAAAUAUUUAUAGAUCAGGGAGGGUCUUGCGUCUGAUUAGGUAGUUGGGGGGGUAACGGCCCACCAAGCCGAUGAUCAGUAGGGGCUCUGAGAGGAGCGGCCCCCACAUGGACACUGAGACACGGGUCCAACUCCUACGGGAGGCAGCAGUAGGGAAUAUUGGGCAAUGGACGAGAGUCUGACCCAGCCAUGCCGCGUGCAGGAAGACGGCCCUCUGGGUUGUAAACUGCUUUUAUGGGGGAAGAACAGGCAGGAUGCGUCCUGUUGUGACGGUACCCGAUGAAUAAGCACCGGCUAACUCCGUGCCAGCAGCCGCGGUAAUACGGAGGGUGCAAGCGUUGUCCGGAUUUAUUGGGUUUAAAGGGUGCGUAGGUGGUAGAUUAAGUCUGGUUUGAAAGUUGGUCGCUUAACGAUCAAGGGUGGCUGGAUAC